UGUUGCCCACGGGCAUAGUGGGUUAAAGUAGGCCACACUCCCCCCAAAAGGUGCCGCUGUCAUGCUGUCUACAGGUAGAGGGUGAGAGAGACACGUAGGAUUUAAGACAGAGGUUCCGUAUUGCCAGCUCCCAAACUGUCCCUUGGGAGGAGUGGCUUCUCCAGAGCUAGAAAUGGCUAGAUAUUACUCAGCGUGUGGAGCCUGCCCGGCGUACUUCCGGGCUACCUGAACUUGCUGUGGCUGGUGGCCAGUACGAAGCCCCUGCCCAGGAAGCCUGCGGGAACCCCUGUGCCCACCCGGAUCUGCACUGCUUGGGCCAGCGGGUACCACAGCACGUCUUCAUGCUGCCAGGAAGCCUUAGCUGUCCUUAACUCCUCUCGCAGCCACCCCCACCCUGUGUGUGAGUGUACGCGCCCACGAGAGUGCACCAGCACCUGUGUGCUCCUGCUUUCCUCAGCACUGGCUGUGUGUAUACCAGGUGCAGACCGGAGACUAGGAUACAGGGUGAAUGCUGUGCCAGCACGGAUGGGUCCCUCUGGGUGAUGCCAGGCCACCUUACUAGUCCCACCUGGACCCCUGGGAGAUGGCCCUGGCAUCGCCCCUCCAUCUGGAACCUGUACUGUUUCUCCCAUACUCUGCAGGGGCUGAGGGAGGGCAUGAGGCCUGUGCUUCCUCCCAGGAACAACCUAAGACCUAGCCAGGUCUAGGAAGGAGGCUGGCAUCACAACACUGCAGCCAAGAGCUGGAACCAGGUUCUCCGGACAGAUGUCAGCUGUGUCUGAGCUCAGGAAUUGAGAGCCCCACUGCUGACCCUCCCCUGAUCCAGCACCUCACCCAAGUGAGACACGUGUCAGGAAAUGUGGUCCAACCUCCAUCCCACCCCAACUGCUCGCCCACCCGCGGUGGGUUAGGAGAGCGGCCUCCCAGAGAUUGUAUGUGCAGACUGAGUCUGCUGUGGCCGUGCUGAAAGUCACAGGCAGGCUGAGGAUCUCCUCCGAUGAGAAAGGGCCUUGGGGAGGCUGCUUCCAGUCCCUGAAGGAGGGCUCCUACAGGAUGGGAGUACAGCACUGUGGUAAACUGUUUGGAGAGCAGACAAAAA
Psammomys obesus (fat sand rat) is the source of this 1099-nucleotide long non-coding RNA. RefSeq lists it as uncharacterized. Lineage: Eukaryota; Metazoa; Chordata; Mammalia; Rodentia; Muridae. The transcript is spliced from 3 exons. The record is from RefSeq and is a predicted model, not a curated record.